UUCAGGGGUUGACAUGCAGUUUCUUUCUUUCUUUUUUUUUUUUUUUAGAUUUAUUUAUUAAUUUGACGAAGAGAUUACAAGCAGGCAGAGAGGCAGGCAGAGAGAGAGGAGGAAGAAGCUCCCCACCACGCAGAGAGCCCAAUGACCUCGAUCCCAGGACCUUGAGAUCAUGACCUGAGCUGAAGGCAGAGGCCUCAACCCACUGAGCCACCCAGGCGCCCUGACAUGCAGUUUCUAAGGAAGGUCCUGACCAGCCCUAUAUGUCUGGUGAUGUGGAUCCCUCGGAGCUCACUUCUUCAAGAGGAGCUUGAAGUAGAGGACACUCUGGGACCCUUGGCAGACCGAAUGGGGAAAGCGGGAGUAGAGCUGGUGGAGGGAAGGAGGUCGGAGAAGAUAGAAGAGUUGGAGCAAGUGGCGAAUUUGGUACGGAGAGAGACUCCCGCAUCUGGCUGUAUGUCAAAAGGACCUGGAGAACUUUUACAACAUAGACCUGUAGAUCCAGGGAAGGGACCUGGCCCAUUUGAUAAUUGGAGCAGAGUAACACCCCCUUCAUUUUGUGACAAAAUUAUUUUAAGAGUAAUUAUGCAAUAAUCAGUAGUGACUAUAUAAGAUGUCAUGUUAUGAAUAAUAUAUGUAGGACAUAUGUUGUACAUAAUGUAGCUAUAAUAAAUAAUGUAUGUGAAA
This 684-nucleotide long non-coding RNA is filed under the name Mustela putorius furo (domestic ferret). RNAcentral's name for it is "lncRNA (ENSMPUG00000030107.1)". Lineage: Eukaryota; Metazoa; Chordata; Mammalia; Carnivora; Mustelidae. The record is from RNAcentral.